Phasianus colchicus (ring-necked pheasant) is the source of this 4962-nucleotide non-coding RNA. The record is from RefSeq and is a predicted model, not a curated record. Lineage: Eukaryota; Metazoa; Chordata; Aves; Galliformes; Phasianidae.
UACUGGAAGGCUGCUAUAAAGUCUCCUCGGAGCUUUCUCUUCUCCAGGCUGAAAAGCCCCAGGUCUCUCACACUGUUCUUGUAGAGGAGGUGCUCCAAUCCUCUGAUCAUCUUCAUGGCUUCAGGUUAUAUUUCCCCACACUGGGGCAUCGUUUGUUAUCAGUCUGUCACUCCUGUAUACCUGUAACUCCAUCCCCACGGAUGCACAUUACCAUAAUCUGUAUUCUCCAGGAGAAUGGAUGCUUCCAGCAUAAAUUAAGUUGAACUUGUAAUAACACUUAUGAUUAAGUUAAUCUGAGAUUUCCCUUCGAUGACCCUUCUGUUGUGACUGUUCCUUCUUCCCACUGGAAGCCACUGGAGCCUUCAGCCCUGUCAGCUCCGAGUUCCCAUAGGAUCUUUGAACUACAUUUGUUUUAGAGCAGAGCUCAAGUCUCAUACAUGUGCCAUUAAUCGGAACCCCUACACUCCUUUCCUGGGGCUGCUCUCCAGCCUCCCAACCACCCCUGUUCAAUGAGCAGUGGCAGCCCCACAGGCAAAAAUCAGAACAUGCUUUUGGUUCUGGCUGCUGAUUGCCCAGCCCUCUUAAUGACCAAGAUUAAAUCAUAGAUCAUAGAAUCCCACAAUGGUUUGAGUUGGAAGGGAAAUCUAAGACCAUGUAAUUCCAACGCCCCUGCUGGAGGCUGGGACACCUCCCCACUAAACCAGGUUGCGCGAAGACCUCAGCAAGUCCUCUCUGCAUCUGAGGACCUCUAUAGCUCCUCCAUGUUUGUGUUGUCCUCAAGAUUAGCAGGAAUUUCAGACUUGCAUCUAGACAAUGCCUCUAGAUCACACCUUGCCUUUAUAAAGAAGGCGCUUGAUCCUGUACACAGGGCUGUGAUUUAAAAGGCUUAGAGAACAUCUCUGAUUUUGUUGGCUGCUUUCUCUAUUUCUAAGAUACCAAACCAAAAGCAAAGGAACCAAAUAGGAGUUGUACACUUGUAUUUAGCAUCUUUGUUCAAGCUAGACCUAGAAAGCAGCCUCUGUGCCACUGCUGACAUUGCAGAGCAUCGCCUGGACGCACAGCUACUCCCUUGCACAAGUUCUGCAAUGGAAACCACAGAGUAUUUGCAAGAGGUGAACACAAACUGGGAAGAGACUGCUAUUCUCUGCUACCAGUGCUUGGGAAAGUGUCUUCCAAACCAUGUGGAGAGCUAGAGGACACUUAGGAGGCCAGCAGGGAGAUACUCGGCAAGCACACAGGGAAGGGGAAGCAAAGCCUAGGUGAGGAGUGAUCUCCUUGCAACACAGCUUGUCUUUUGACUCAACUCUGAAGAGCCACGGCACUGGGCAGGACCAGCAACAAGUGCAGCUCAGUGACAUCGGCUCAGGUGGCUCCAGCCAGCCUGGCCUUGGACACCACAUGACGAUGAUGUCACUGUGAUGACAGGAGGGCACCAUGGUGACGCCUGAGCAUCUCCCACCGAAACCCCCAGGCAGCACCGGUUGACUUCCCUUGCCAGCAGGCGGGGGACAACUGGCUUGCUGCACAAGUGGCUGCACACACAACCUUCUUUCAAAACCAGACAGGAGGAAUGGAAAUGAGCCAUUGGCAGCUAAAACAGCUUCUGCUACCGAUCUGAAGGAACUGGUCGAGAUUUCAGGCUCUGCUUUUAGUGAGCAUCCAGGAUGGGACCAAGCACCAGCUGGCGAUUCUGCAGGAAUCCAUAAUGGAAGAAAGGGGCUCAGAAUCAUAUCCCAGUGAGGAGAAAACAAAAGGUUUACCUCAGAGUUCAUUUGAGGAAAGCACUGGCUUGGUCAGUGUGUUCUCAUUGCUCAGCUUCCCACAAAAACUCUGGGUUCUGGUGGAAAGUGAUCACAUGGAGAGUAUUUGGUGGGGUCACGGAGGAAAAUGCCUCGUAAUUAAAGAAGAAAUGUUUAUGGUGGAAAUUCUGGCAAAGGAGAGCACCUGCGAGAACCUCUGGGAGAGAGCUCUGUUCACCAGCUCAACCUCUACAGAUUCACCAGAGUUCCAUGGGACCUUGAAAGAUCUCCUUCCCUUUUUGAGUUUCUGGCCAAGGAAGAAGUGCUGUCUGCCUAUAGGAAGGUUAAGUAUUUAUACUGUUCCUCACACAAACGGGGACUAUACAUUCACAAAAUAUUUUGUUGCAGUCAGCCUAAUCCGUAGGAUUAAAUUGACCAAUAGGUGUGGUUUAACCUGGCAGGUGGCUCGACUCAGCACCACACUGUCAUUCACUCGCUUGCCCCCUUCCCAGUGGGAUGAGGGAGAGAAGUGGGGAAAAAAACUUGUGGGUUGAGAUAAAAAAUAUUUACUAAGGUAAAGACAAGAAAAAGGAUAACAGUAGCCUGCACGUAUCUGUAUUUAUAUCUAUAUCUGAACAAAUAUAAUAAGAGAUGCAAAAGCAACUGCUCACCAACCCUUGACUCAAGUCCAGAUAGCUCCUGAGCAGCAUAAGAGAGCCAGAUUAACUCAUACCCCCAUCAUUUGAUGUCGUACGGCAUAGGAUAUCCCUUUGCCCAUUUAAACCAGCUGUCCUAACUCUAUUCCCACCCAACUCCUCAGACCCUCUGCUGGGAAUGUCUUUGGCUCUGUACAACACUGCUUAGCAGCAACAAACACUGCUGCGGCAUAAACACUGGUGUUCUGCUUGAACAAAUCCAUAGCAUCAUACACAUGCUGAAGUAUGCAAUUCCAUUCCAGCUGAAACAAAGGCACUGAUAAGUCUUGUUAAUACCCGAAUUUGACCUUAGCCAUCAGAAGUGCUAGUUCCUGUAUCUUGCUGACCUUCAGCCUCACACUGACAGCAGCUAAGUCUUUACAUUUUUCAGUCACUGCUCUACUCCAGCUUAUACUUCAGGAGAGACUACCCACAGCUGCUGGAACACUGCAAGCAAAGAGCAGCCCAGAAGAGGAGGGAUUUGGCUGCUCCUGCCCUUGCCCCUGAGAAUGAGAGUUCCCAGAAGAGCAGUCCAGCUGCUCAUCCUAGGCAGGGAGCAGAUGCUGGGCCAGAGAGGAGCCUACAAGCAGCAGAGCCAGAAGGCACACAGGCAGCAGAACCCAUGGGGCCCCCAUCAGUCAAGCACUGCAAGGAAGACAUCACUUCAGCCCAACAGCACACUGCUCACAGCCUGCCAGGCCCUGCUGCAGCACCAGUGUGACAACAGUGCCAACCUCUGCCCUGCUCCUCAGUCCCACACUGACAGCAGCUAACUCUUCUCCUUUACAUUUUUCAGCUACUCUACUCCAGCUCAUACUUCAGGAGAGACUACCCACAGCUGCUCAAACUCUGUAAGCAAAGAGCAGCCCAGAAGAGAUGUGGCUGCUCCUGCCCCUGCCCUGUAGGAGGCUCUGAAUGAGAGCCUGCAGAGGAGCAGUCCAGCUGCUCAGCCUAGGCAGAGAGCAGAUGCUGGGCCAGAGAGGAGCUUACAAGCAGCAGAGCCAGAAGGCACACUGGCAGUGGCACCCAUAGGGCCCCGGCCAGCUAAGCACCCCAAGGAAGACACCCCCCAGCAAGCCAAACAGCACACUGCUCACAGCCUGUCAGGCCCUGCUGCAGCCCCAGCAUGGCAACAGUGCCAGCCUCUGCCUCACUCCGUGCUGCCACCAAGCAGCAGACAGAUGCUGGCUGCCAUUUGUGCUCCUUCACAGCACUCUGCCCUUCAUGGUCCUCACUGUGCCAUCUAGCCCUCCUCAGUAGGACUCUCCCAGCACCCAGAAGCAUCACAGCUGCAGGGUCCCUGGUCUUGGCUCAUGCUUUGCAGUGGCCAUGAGGGCAGCAACCACUAUGACGCCACGGGACUUACAGCCCCGUUCUGCCCAACGUGCCCCUGCAGCCACGCAAGGGCAUCCCCGUUCUGCCCAACGUGCCCCUGCAGCCAGGCAAGGGCAACCCCGUACUGCCCGAGGUGCCCCUACAGCCAGCCCUCAGGAGAUGCAGGCUACGGGGCCGCCUCUUAGACAUUAGAAGAAAAAAUGCUUUAUUCAUGGACUGGAGAUGUUUUGCACAGAAUAGUUUAAAAAAUGUUAAGAUCGGCACAGUUUUAAUGUAAUCAGGCUUCAAAGUAAAAUCAUAUAAGUUGUAUGUAAUUCGCAAGGAAUCAAGAAGUGAAUUACACUGCCUGGUGUGUAACACAGGAAAAAUUACAACUUUGUCAUCUGUAGGUUCAAGCCCAAAUCUUCACCCAGUGAAACAAAAACUGAGGUUCUAUCAUUAUAUUCAAGGAGUGCAAAUGUACAGAUUUGAGAGAUAUUUCAAUUAAAAUGCUGGUGAAAAAUGCCAUGACAGAUUCCACAACAAGAAUUUUGCAAAAAUAGGAUUUUUGUAUGUAAAUAUAUUCAUUAAAAAAAAGAUUCAGGCUGAUUGUUUUUCAGUAAGCAAGGUAAGUUUUUACUGCCUUUAACUCAAAGGAAGAACUUCAGACUGUUUCAAAAUUUGGAUCUGUAUCUACACUUCCGAAACUCAAGGCAGCUGUCAGUUUUCAUAUUAAAAAAUACGUUCCUCUAUUGAGAAUUUAAUAGUAUCUCAGAGCAUUGUGAAAGAAUGAAAGCAUGCAAAAUGUUUGCUCAGACACUUCAAACUUACUCCUUGUAAUUGCCAUGAUGUUGUACGUCUAAUUUUUUCAUAUUUGUAUGCUUUCAUACUCUGACACCGUAAAUUUGUUUCCCCCUGAUCCCAAUAAUUGUCCCUCUCAAUUUUUUUUUGCCUGUUCAGUUCAACUGGUAUUACAAUGAAAGGUCAGUACAAGCUCAAAAUCUCAAAAUAUCGGAUAUACACCUCUCAUUAAAUCUAUUUAUUCUAUCUUCCAGCAUUAUUCACUGGAGAUCUCUGAAACAACCCCUGGAGGGCUUUAUCUGAUGAUGCUUUGCUGGGCAGUAUGGACCUUCUUAUUCACAUCAGAGCCUAGAAACUGGAGACACCUCAUUGCAUGCAGAUAAUUGUCAAAAGUAAAUGGGAGAGAGAAAAAA